GUCCCCUACCUGAUUAGCUAGACACAGAGCGCUGACUGGUGCGUUUACAAACCUUUAGCUAGACACAGUGCUGAUUGGUGCGUUUACAAUCUUUUAGCUAGACAGAAAAGUUCUCCAAGUCCCCAUCCGUCCCAGAAGCCCAGCCGGCUUCAUCUCUCACUGGCAUUGGCAGGGCAGCGGGACUUUGCGACACCUAGCCCGGGCACUCCAGCAGCCCAGAGGGAGCUCCUCCCAGACAAUCAAGAGGGAAAGAGGGGAAGCAGAAAGAGACGGAGACCUGCUAUCUUGGCCAACGAUCCCGUGAAGAGGGAACGGCGGUCUACGCAGGGAAUUCAGCUUCCUAUCAAGCCUAGCAGAGUCCUGCUUCUCGCGCCCGCUGCACUGGGUUUGGCGUCUCUGCUGUUCGCUGAGAUCUGCACACUCCAGGAGCCAUAGGGAGGACGCCAGGACAGCCCCGAAGACGAGAAUGCCUCGCUCCUCCUAGGACGGGAGGAAAAUCCCACAAAUCCUGUCUACUCCAAGCAGCCGCGCCCCUCGGGAGACCACCCCAGUUGGAGGGGCCCACUCCAGCCACCGCUACACCGGGACGCGCUCCUCCUCCCCCUGUGCCCGCCCCUUCUCGUGAGGGACCACCAGGAGGCCCCUCGAUUCCCCAGCAAAACACAGGUUUUGGAGCCAGAGUUUCUGAGUUUGAAUGUUUGGUCUGCUACUGACCAACUCUAUGGGCUUGGGCCUGCAAAGAAAACAUCAAAGAAGAAGGUCAAAAACCAAUUACAUUCUAGGAGUGACCUUGAUGACUUAACUCUGUAAUCUGCAGCAACCUCAGAGGAUCAUGGGAUGCAUUAUGCACGUCAUGGAAUGGAUUGUAAUGUGUAACAUCUAUGAAAUCAAAGGAUGAAGAAGAUCGUGCCCAGAGCUCUCCUUGGGGGUGGAUGACAGAAUGAACAUUUACUCUGGGCUCACUGGAAAAGCUCCAACGUCUUGGAAAUUGAGUGGGUAUAAGGAAUGCACAAAUUAGUUUUCCUGUGACAGCAUGCAGAGCACUUUUCCAAGCCCCGUCACCUGUCCUUAGUUCCUCUGAACUAUACAGAGGAACAAAUCAAUAUAAAUGCAGAAGAGAAAAGAUGAGAUCAGCUGAUUUUGGUGUUGAUAUGGGUAAUAUCUGAUUUACAUUCAGUUUUCAUGUGGGAUCUCUGUGCCUGGCUUGGUUUAAUGAUUCAAAGUGACAAUACAGUCAACUUCUGAGAAAAUGAUCUAUGGAAAAUUGAAAGUUUAAAAUAUUUUCUUCCUCCUAACUUUGAAGAGGACUUGUUUCAUAUCAAAUCUGCCUGUUCAUCUGCCUGUCCGUCCACUCACUGUUUAUCCAUGGAUCUUGGUGUUAGCUUCUGAGGUGGUAAUGAAUUCAAAACCCUUCUGUUCCUACUCUCAUAUUAAAGGUUCAAAAAUCAACCUUGAUUGCAAUGAAGCACUAAGCCCACAACCACAACUCAGGUGAGGGCUGCCUUGAGGGUUGAAUGGGUUAAUUAAAUAAAAUGUGUAUUAUAUAUCUCGAAGAAAGUAGAGGUAUAUCAACUUGCUUGGUAUCUCACAGCUUAGCAAGUUCCAGAGGGGCACUCAAACCCAGGAGAUAAGCUUCCAAGUCAGGGCUAAUGCCAUGACACCCAUGAUUUAUGGGUGGAUUGGUGGCAGGACAAGAUAGAAAGGAACCAGCGGUGGCUCAGGGUUUUGACCUGAGCAACCAGGGAGAGGAGGUGUCGUGUAGACAGAUAGGAAAGACACAAUUCUUUGAACACAUUUGGGACUCAGAUAGUCAAGGCAGCAAGGAUGAAGAUGGUUUGUCUCAUCACCCGUCUUCCAGGUGACUCUGGUGGGCUCCCUCUUUGAAAGGGUGCCUUCUGGGGGCUGACUUUCAGGCUAGCGGUUGGCUUCUUUUGACUGGGGGUCAAGUGGGCCUCCAGACACCCUGAGCUGCAUGGAGAACAGCAAGGGCCUUUUGCUCAUCUGCAGUGUACAGCACUGCCUCUACUUCAUCUUGAUGCUGCUCCUGGUCAGUCUUCUCGGCACGCUGGGGACCUCCUUACUCACAGACCCAAUUCCUGUUAAACAAGUUAAGUGCUGCCAGGUAGGGUGCUCUGGGGUGGACCCUGCAGUUCUAGGGAGUCACUGAAGAAUAGGGAAAUUCCUGCAUUGUCUUUGGAAAGGGGAGGGUUUGGGGGAGCAUUGGGGUGGGCAGAAACAGGCAGGUACAUUUUAAAGGGCUCAGCAGAGUGAAACAAAGCUGAACUCAACCAGAUGUCCUGCAGCGAUUUGCCAGGUAUUCCUUUAGAUCGAGAAGUUUGGCUUUUAAAAUGCAAAUUUUCCUUGGAAGUUUUAAAUCCACCAACCUUAGUAUGAAUUAAUGCAAUCAGGGCACUCCCAGCUGUUACCCACCCAGGGGGAAUGAAGCCAAUGGACAUUCAGCCCCCACUGUAGUGCAGUAGGUGAGAGCAUGGCAGGCUCUGGAGCAGACUGCCAGGAUGCCGAUCCUAGCCUUGCCCUUACUAGUGUGUGUGAUCCCGGAUGAAUAUUUAACUUUUCUGUGGCUCAGUUAAAUGGAUGUAAUAAUAUCUACCUCAAAGAUCAGUUAUGAGGAUUAAAUGAGUUAAUCAAUGUAAAGCACUUAGAACAGUGUUUCGCAUAUGUACGCCUCAUCUUAGUAUUAGCUGCUGUUAUUGUUACUAUUAAUAAACAAUCCUUGAAGAGCAAGAACCGAAUUAUCUGUGCCCCACAAUACCCAGCAUCACUCCAUUACUAUGACAGACCUGCCACAUGUAUUUCUUGGAUGGGUUACUCAAUGGAUCUCUUUGCCACUUCUACAUUUUUCUUCUUCUACUUUGUUUUAUAGCAGAGGAGGGGCAGAAUUUAGGUGGAGUUCAUUGCUCAGCUGGACUGAAAAAGCUGAACUGGAAUAACUUUCAGUGAACAUGGGCAGUGGGUAAACAUUGGGAAUUUGCAGACUUUCAAAUGAGUCCUCUCUCGAGCACACAUCCUCUAAGUUAGUAGCAACACCAUUAACUCUUUGAAGACUAGGAAGGCACAGUCUUAUUGUCUCUGUAUCCUUAGUCCCCAGCACAGGGGUUCGUAGAAGAGGAAUGACUGAAUCUUCAGGUGUCUGUGGGCUGCCAGGAGGACACUUGGCCAAGAACUAUGUCUCAUCUUGCUUUCUGAGACCUCUUCCCCUCUUUUACACUUGUUCCUGUCUUUUGAAUACCAGGAAGCCCAGGUUGCCUUCUGACCUUCAGAGGCCCUCACACCACCUAUUCCGGGGGCUCCAGUACCAUCUUUCCCUGUAAAUGAGGCAGCACAGACUUUGAAUUUAGGCAAACCUGGGUUCAAGUUUCAGCUUCACUGGUAUCUUGCUACACUCAUAACCGUAGACAAUUUUACUUAUUUUUGUUAAGUCUCAGUAUCUUCAUCUGCAAAAUGUGGAUAAUAGUAACUAUCUCAUGGAAUUGUCAUGAGGGAGUUUCUUAAAUGUAGUUAUGUACAGAACUCUUUUAAAGGAACUCCUAAAAUCUCAAUGUUUAUCCAAAUGAGUUUUUCAAUAAUGCUACUUGGAUACAUGCAAAUAUAAUGUUCUAUAAUAUUUAGCUAUAAAUUCAAUGUUUUUAUACAACCUAAACAAAAUUACAAACUAAAUACAAAUAAAACUAUAACAUUAAUAAAAUACAAAUUAACAAUUUUAAUGUAACAGAUAAUGUUUUGCUGAAAUUAAAC
Molecule: long non-coding RNA, 3756 nt
Filed under: Homo sapiens (human)
Lineage: Eukaryota; Metazoa; Chordata; Mammalia; Primates; Hominidae
Description: HSALNT0194508
Source: RNAcentral